UAGACAUUGGUUAAUGGAGUGAUUUGUCUGGUUUAUUCUGGUAACAAGUAACACUCAAGCAUGCUAACUAAUUAUAUGACCCUUGAGUGGUUGGCGACUCCAGCUUCUUAGAGGGACAAGUGGUGUUCAAUCACUAGAGUUUGAGCAAUAAUAGAUUUGUGA
RNAcentral lists this non-coding RNA (162 nucleotides) under Canis lupus familiaris (dog). Its description in RNAcentral is "Eukaryotic small subunit ribosomal RNA". It matches the Rfam family "Eukaryotic small subunit ribosomal RNA", at positions 1285 to 1467 of the family's 1831-position model. RNAcentral also lists the same sequence under 1 other name. The record is from Rfam by way of RNAcentral. Lineage: Eukaryota; Metazoa; Chordata; Mammalia; Carnivora; Canidae.